CGAGAAAAUCAAACGCAACAAGUCUCUUCCCAGUUGUAAUAAAAAAAAGAUGAAAGGUGUAAAAAAGUGACACUCUAUGAUGAGCCGGCAGAGAGACAAAACGUCUGGAAUGAUUUGAUUUGACAAUUCGUGUGUCCAAUAAUUGCACUUUUGAUGUGAAAGUGCUGAGAAAAAAACGGGUCUUCCCUGUGUGCCGA
Non-coding RNA from Caenorhabditis elegans, 197 nucleotides. The record is from Ensembl. Lineage: Eukaryota; Metazoa; Nematoda; Chromadorea; Rhabditida; Rhabditidae.